RNAcentral lists this ribosomal RNA (253 nucleotides) under uncultured bacterium. RNAcentral's name for it is "partial 16S ribosomal RNA". It matches the Rfam family "Bacterial small subunit ribosomal RNA", at positions 524 to 776 of the family's 1533-position model. The record is from RNAcentral.
UACAGAGGGGGCAAGCGUUAUUCGGAAUUAUUGGGCGUAAAGGGCGCGUAGGCGGCCUGGCAAGUGGAAGGUGAAAUCCCUCGGCUUAACCGAGGAACUGCCCUCCAAACUGCUUGGCUUGAGUCCGGGAGAGGUGAGUGGAAUUCCCAGUGUAGCGGUGAAAUGCGUAGAUAUUGGGAGGAACACCGGUGGCGAAGGCGGCAUCCUGGACCGACACUGACGCUGAGGAGCGAAAGCCAGGGGAGCAAACGGG